UAUACUGUGAAACUGCGAAUGGCUCAUUAAAUCAGUUAUCGUUUAUUUGAUAGUACCUUACUACUUGGAUAACCGUGGUAAUUCUAGAGCUAAUACAUGCUAAAAACCUCGACUUCGGAAGGGGUGUAUUUAUUAGAUAAAAAACCAAUGCCCUUCGGGGCUCCCUGGUGAUUCAUAAUAACUUAACGAAUCGCAUGGCCUUGUGCCGGCGAUGGUUCAUUCAAAUUUCUGCCCUAUCAACUUUCGAUGGUAGGAUAGUGGCCUACCAUGGUUUCAACGGGUAACGGGGUAUUAGGGUACUAUACCGGAGAGGGAGCCUGAGAAACGGCUACCACAUCCAAGGAAGGCAGCAGGCGCGCAAAUUACCCAAUCCCGACACGGGGAGGUAGUGACAAUAAAUACUGAUACAGGGCUCUUUUGGGUCUUGUAAUUGGAAUGAGUACAAUUUAAAUCCCUUAACGAGGAACAAUUGGAGGGCAAGUCUGGUGCCAGCAGCCGCGGUAAUUCCAGCUCCAAUAGCGUAUAUUAAAGUUGUUGCAGUUAAAAAGUUCGUAGUUGAACCUUGGGCCUGGCUGCCCGGUCCGCCUCACCGCGUGCACUGGUCCGGCCGGGCCUUUCCUUCUGGGGAUCCCCAUGCCCUUCACUGGGUGUGCGGGGGAACCAGGACUUUUACUUUGAAAAAAUUAGAGUGUUCAAAGCAGGCCUAUGCUCGAAUACAUUAGCAUGGAAUAAUAGAAUAGGACGUGUGGUUCUAUUUUGUUGGUUUCUAGGACCGCCGUAAUGAUUAAUAGGGAUAGUUGGGGCCAUCAGUAUUGCUGUGUCAGAGGUGAAAUUCUUGGAUUUCAGCAAGACUAACUACUGCGAAAGCAUUUGGCAAAGAUGUUUUCAUUAAUCAGUGAACGAAAGUUAGGGGAUCGAAGACGAUCAGAUACCGUCGUAGUCUUAACCAUAAACUAUGCCGACUAGGGAUCGGGCGAUGUUAUCUUUUUGACUCGCUCGGCACCUCACGAGAAAUCAAAGUCUUUGGGUUCU
This 1032-nucleotide ribosomal RNA is filed under the name Sarcotrochila macrospora. RNAcentral describes it as "SSU rRNA". It matches the Rfam family "Eukaryotic small subunit ribosomal RNA", at positions 75 to 1115 of the family's 1831-position model. Lineage: Eukaryota; Fungi; Ascomycota; Leotiomycetes; Helotiales; Cenangiaceae. The record is from RNAcentral.